GCUAUGGUAACAAUGUAACCAGGAACGGUACCGCAAAGAGCUAUUAAAAAUUGUGCCUUAGAGAUCAUGAAGAGCUCUUGGAUUGCGUUCAUGGUUUUUGGUGGGGGUAACCAACCAAUGGUGGUGAAGAUAUCUUUCUGGAAGAGGUUUUGGCUGUAGAAAGCUAUGUCGAGGAGGAACCAUGUGGUUGUUGUUGCGAGUAGGUGAAGUCCGUGGCGGCGGAGGAAUUUCGCGGAGAACAAGCCAAACUCGUCUGAAGAAAACCUAGCUUGGUCAUGCUUCGCGGAAGAGGCCUCAAUGUCUACAUUAAGAACCUUAGCCAUAUCCGAAGCAGCUUGCUCCGACUUCUCGUUGAAACUUCUUUAGCUCGGAAAUGAGCCAAACUUACGAGAUUUGAUAAAAUUUAUCAUUUUCCUUUAUGUUUAGAUAGAGAAUUCGAAGCUCGUCUCGUAGCACUUCCUGUUGGCGAAAAGUCGCGGCUAGGUUUUUUUUUAUUUUUUUUAGGCACUAUGGCAUUUGCGUAAUCGUUGGCCAUAUGCGCAGUGGCGGCUGGGGUUGUCUUACCAGCGUUGUUGCGAGCUGCGAUUUUGUCUUUCGUGUUUCCAGACAUUGUUUUGAUCAAACAUUUUGUGGCUGAGAGUUAGAUUGAUCCGUACCCCCUCCUUCAAGUGCCAAACUGUGGGAACCGAAAUUCGCACUGUUGAUUUCCGUUUAAAUUAGGAAAGUUAGGAAAACCCUAAUUUCCCAGUGGUCCCGGAUAUCUGUUAAACCACACACCAAGCAAUCAGAACACACAAUUAGAGACGAAAAGAUAUAAGAAAUCGUAAAAGAGAGCAAAAGGAGUUUUAUUCCGAAUCCGCGUAUGAGCGAUACAACAAGGUAGAAGCCUUGGCUACGAGAGCUGUCAGUGAGAUUCCUAAUUCUAACAACCUAAGACUGCAAAACCUAGUUGAGUCGCAGCUCGAAAUAACAAAAACGGAAAGUUGCCCAAUUGCUCUAAGUGCUAAGUUUGCUCUGAGAAAAGUCCUCCCAUGACUCUCGCCUAGGACUCCUUAUAUACUGGCUCCUAGGUCAGUUUACGCUUUUCCUCUUCUGCCCUUAAGUCGUCAUAGCAUAAAAAUGGAGAUAUUCCAUUUUUUCCGAUCUUCGUAAUUAUCUUCAAAAUUUCGUAUUUAUCCGCGGAAACUUGACAUUUAUUUUUCCUUGCGAACCAAGCAUAAACCGUCCUACGGUUUAUGGGCUUUUGGUUAAGAAAUCUUAAAGAAAUAUAGAUGAGUAUAUUCUCUUCCAAAAGGAGCAUAAUGCCAUAACUUAAUUAUUUUGUUUAGUGUUUAUUCUAACAAUUUUUUAAAAAAAAAUUAUAUUUUCAGAUCUAUAUUUUUUUAUAUAUAUUGGGAGAGAUUUUUUUUUUUUUUUCUUGAUAUCCGAUGGUAAAAUACUGUUACUGAGUAUAUUCUUUUUUUUUUCAUUUUCCUUCCAUGCGGAAAUUAAAUCCUCAGGCUUACUUCCGAAAAUGUAGGUAACUUUUGUUACGUUAUUCCGGUUUUUUUUCAUUCAUAUAUGAUAAAAAAUAUUGAGGUUUUAGGUCUGUGACCGAGAAUGAAAAAAUAGUCCAAAAGAUCCAAUAAUUAAAUAUGUAAUAAGGCCCCGGUAAUGUAAUAGGCUUUGAAGGCUUAGAGAGAGGGACUUAAUUUCCAAAAGAUCACAAAAGUUAAUUAAAUCCAAGAUAUACUGAUAUACUCGUAUACAUAAGCAUAAUGGACAAAAGCCACAAAUAGAACAUCAUAACGUCAAGACCGGGGAAGAAAAUAAAAACAAACAUGACACUCGAAAUAAUAUAAUUUGAAAAUGAAAUACAAUACUUUUAUCGUGAUCAUUUCUCAACCUCAGUCUCACCGGAGAGUUCUUCGAGGGACUUUCCCUUGGGCUCAGGAACAAGGAACGUGAAGAGCAUACCGACAAAGUUAAUGACACCAAGCAUGAUCAGUGAGUUCUUGACUCCAAUGCCUGGUGGGUACCCUGCGUCGGUCUUGGUCUUGUCCUGUGGCUGAGCUGCGUAUAAGAACCCGAAAGCUCCCACGAUGGCUCCAGCUUUACCUGUCGCUGCUGAUAUUCCAUGGCAUGUGGAUCUUAGCCUAGCCGGGAAGAUCUCAGCUGGUACAAUGAAGGUUGUCGCAUUUGGUCCAAAAUUGGCAAAGAAGAAAGUGAGAGAGUACAUAACGACGAAUCCGAUGCGGUUGUCUGGUUUGAUACAGUGGUCGUAAGGGAAGGCAAUGGCAAACAUAAACACGGUCAUCAUGAAGAAUCCCAUUAGCUGGAUCGCAAAUCUUCCAAUGAUAUCAAUGAAUGCAACCGUGAACCAGUCGCGAUGAGAGUCUGUGCCCUAGCAAUCUUGAAAACUUCAUGGACGGCAUUCAUGGUUGAUGCCUUUGGGAUCCACCCGAUAGCCGAGAAGAUAUCUUUUUGGAACAAAUUUUGGCUGUAAAAGGCAAUGUCAAGCAAGAACCAAGUGGAUGUACAUCCAAGGAGGGGAAGACCAUGGCGUCUAAGGAAUUCUUUGGAGAAUAAGCCAUAGUUAAGUCUUGGGUCUUUAACGAUAUCCUCCGCUCUUUCCUCCAUUUCAAGCUCCACUUGUAAAACCUUGGACAUGUCUUGUGUUGCUUGUUUAAUAUUUUUUGCCACAAAAGCGGUGUACCGAGCGGUUUAUGGCAUUUUCAUUCGCCAGUAGUAUGUCAAGGCUGCGGGUAGAGCACCAAACAUGACGAUGAUUCUCCAAAUGUAAUCAGCUUAAGGAGGCGUUGAGAGAGCUCUGUUGACUGCAUAGGUUUAUGGCAUUUUCAUUCGCCAGUAGUAUGUCAAGGCUGCGGGUAGAGCACCAAACAUGACGAUGAUUCUCCAAAUGUAAUCAGCUUAAGGAGGCGUUGAGAGAGCUCUGUUGACUGCAUAGGUUGGUGCUGGGAACUUCUUGUCGAAUAUGGAAGAUACCGCAAGUGCCACAAACCCUCCGGCCAAGAUACCAAUUCCUUGCAUAGCGAACACGGCAGCUUUGAAAGCACCACGGGUCUUCUUAUUUGCGUAUUCAGACAUGAUAGUGGCGGAAAGAGGGUAGUCACCUCCGAUACCGAAUCCCAGCCAAAACCUAAAAGAAAGAUUGUUAUAUAUAUGUUAAUAUAAGUUUUCUUAAAGAAAUAUAUGUUAGUAAAUCUUGCGUAUUACCUAAAGAAGCAAAGAGUGGUCAUGACACCUUUGGCUUUGUUACCAAAGGAGAGACCAGAAGCGACAGAGCACAAAAUCAUCAUGAUUAAAGUGAUACCGUAAACUUUUUUUCUUCCGAGCUUGUCACCAAGCCAUCCGAAGAAGACUUAACCAGCAAGGGUUCCACAGAGGGCCACACCAUUGACGGCCGCCGCUAUACCCCACGUUCGCAUACGCUGUCCUGUUGAUAACCUGUUCCUUAUUGCCAGCCAUGUUAUGAAAGAGAAUCUAGGGACCCCCUGUGGGAACCAUACCACUUUACUCCACUCAACCUUUGUUCCCUUUUUUCGUAGUUGAUCCCAAGUUCUCGCUGCUGAAUACGUGGUCCUGUAAUCAUCAACCCCAUGCUUCCAUAAUAUAAUAUCGCUACCUGUACCAGGGGAGGGAGGAGCCGUAGCCAAGAUCCGGUCAUAAACCUCCCGGUACCGUCGACUCCUCCAUCCUCGGAUGUUCCACGAAUUGCCCCUCGCAGCAUCACUGACUUAUAUAUAUGUAAGUUAUUAGAGAUUUUGGUACGUUCUUUUUUUAAAAGGUUUUUUUUUUUUUUUGAUGAAAUUUGAAAUUUAUUGAUCAACCUAAGAAAUUUUACAGACCAUUAAAGGUUGGUUAUAGUCUUAGAUGCUAACUAGAAACCAAUCGAAUACGAAUACUAAAGAGUAACUUCGAACCAUCUUCUAAGUAGCCCUUCCAGUUUGUGGCCAUGAGCGUAUCGCAAAGAGCAGAUGCGGUUUCGCACCGCCUUGUCUAUGAAUCUUCUUAGUUGAUCAGUCUGUAUCCCUCCUUGCCGGUGACGCCUUGAAUUUCUUUCCUUCCAGAUGUAGUACACGGUUGUUUGGAAAAGCAUCCUUGCGAGGAUUGAGUCUAGGCUUUUCCCUCCCAUAGUACGCAGCCGAUUGACAGUCCAUUCCCAAUCGGGGUUGAUGUUUCGUCCAACAAGUGGUCUUGCCAGAGAUUCCCAUAUCGUGUAGGAGUAUGGGCAGGCAAAGAACAGGUGUUCUCUUGUUUCAUUUAUCUCGAGCUUUCACCAAAGCAGCAAAACCGAAAGACCCAACCAUCGCACCGGCUUUACCGGAAGCCGCCGAGAUACCAUGACAACUGGACCUAAGUCUAGCCGGAAAAAUCUCAGCAGGGACAAUGAAAGUAGUUGCGUUAGGUCCGAAGUUACAAAAGAAAAAAGUGAGAGAGUAGAGAACAAUGAAACCAAUCCGGUUAUGAGGUAAGGUCCAAUGGUGGUACGGUAAGGCUAGACCAAUCAAGCAAAGCAUCAUCAUGAAGAAUCCAACGACCUGAAUCUUGAACCGUCCCAUCCAGUCGAUGGUAGCUAUGGUAACAAUGUAACCAGGAACGGUACCGCAAAGAGCUAUUAAAAAUUGUGCCUUAGAGAUCAUGAAGAGCUCUUGGAUUGCGUUCAUGGUUUUUGGUGGGGGUAACCAACCAAUGGUGGUGAAGAUAUCUUUCUGGAAGAGGUUUUGGCUGUAGAAAGCUAUGUCGAGGAGGAACCAUGUGGUUGUUGUUGCGAGUAGGUGAAGUCCGUGGCGGCGGAGGAAUUUCGCGGAGAACAAGCCAAACUCGUCUGAAGAAAACCUAGCUUGGUCAUGCUUCGCGGAAGAGGCCUCAAUGUCUACAUUAAGAACCUUAGCCAUAUCCGAAGCAGCUUGCUCCGACUUCUUAG
This 4927-nucleotide long non-coding RNA is filed under the name Brassica napus (rape). RNAcentral's name for it is "long non-coding RNA (BNAP_LNC011933)". Lineage: Eukaryota; Viridiplantae; Streptophyta; Magnoliopsida; Brassicales; Brassicaceae. The record is from RNAcentral.